This 381-nucleotide unclassified non-coding RNA is filed under the name uncultured Alphaproteobacteria bacterium. RNAcentral describes it as "contains 16S-23S intergenic spacer region". Lineage: Bacteria; Pseudomonadati; Pseudomonadota; Alphaproteobacteria. The record is from RNAcentral.
UCCGGCUUAUCACCGGCAGUCCCGUUAAAGUGCCCAGCUCAACCUGAUGGCAACUAACGGCAAGGGUUGCGCUCGUUGCGGGACUUAACCCAACAUCUCACGACACGAGCUGACGACAGCCAUGCAGCACCUGUGUGGACGCCAGCCAAACUGAAAGAAACCCUCUCGAGUCCCUAUACGCCCCAUGUCAAAAGCUGGUAAGGUUCUGCGCGUAGCUUCGAAUUAAACCACAUACUCCACCGCUUGUGCGGGUCCCCGUCAAUUCCUUUAAGUUUUAAUCUUGCGACCGUACUCCCCAGGCGGAAUGCUUAUCGUGUUAACUACGACACUGAAGAGUUCCCCCCCCAACAUCUAGCAUUCAUCGUUUACAGCGUGGACUAC